CAAAUGUUCCUAUAUUUUCAGAUACAAGAGAAUGCCAAUGCUUCCUCCCACCACACCUAGCAUGAUGUAUUAUCAUGAACUCUAGAAGACUGGAGAGUUGGACCAGUUUUCAGGUUCAGAGAAGCUCGUGGUGGCUAUGGAGAGGUACAAAAGCCUGCCCUCUUCAAGAAAACUAAAUUUCAAAUAUUUACUAGAUAAGGAAAUGGAGAAGUACAGAAUGCAGAUAGAUGAUUGGGAAAAUAAUCAAGACGAGUUAACGUUGUUUAUGAGAUACUACUUGGAGGUAAAAUUAAGAAAACAAAAAAUCCUAAGAAAACCGCCCCAUCUGCAAGUACCCGUCGUCAACUGUUAAAAUCAUCCGAAGCAUUUAAAAAUGUGAUAAAAUUUGAAAUGUCCUUCCCAGAGUUUCUUGAUGAACCAUGCAAACCUCCUAAGAACCCUUUUAUGCUCUUCUGUAUGAGGUUAAAACAUUUGGCACAGUCAAUGUGAAUCACAGUCCCAGAUCAAAAAUGUGUGUUUAAAAGAAUGGGAAAAACCUGUCCAAGGAUGAGAAGCAAAGAUAUACUGAACGUUGUGAAGAACUUAAGGAAAAAUAUGCAGAACAAAUAUAACUAGUAUU
This is a non-coding RNA of Cherax quadricarinatus, 619 nucleotides long. The record is from RefSeq and is a predicted model, not a curated record. NCBI's taxonomy places the organism in Eukaryota, Metazoa, Arthropoda, Malacostraca, Decapoda, Parastacidae.